GAUGAACGCUGGCGGCGUGCCUAAUACAUGCAAGUCGAGCGAACAGACGAGGAGCUUGCUCCUCUGACGUUAGCGGCGGACGGGUGAGUAACACGUGGAUAACCUACCUAUAAGACUGGGAUAACUUCGGGAAACCGGAGCUAACACCGGAUAAUAUAUUGAACCGCAUGGUUCAAUAGUGAAAGACGGUUUUGCUGUCACUUAUAGAUGGACCCGCGCCGCAUUAGCUAGUUGGUAAGGUAACGGCUUACCAAGGCAACGAUGCGUAGCCGACCUGAGAGGGUGAUCGGCCACAUGGGACCUGAGACACGGUCCGGACCCCUACGGAGGCCAGCAGUAGGGAAUCUGCAGCAAUGGGGGAAGGCCUGACGGAGCAACGCCGCUGGGGUGAUGAAGUCCUUCGGAUCGUAAAACUCUGUUAUUGGGGAAGAACAAAUGUGUAAGUAACUAUGCAGGUCUGGACUGUACCUAAUCAGAAAGCCCCGGCUACCUCCGU
Molecule: ribosomal RNA, 496 nt
Filed under: uncultured bacterium
Lineage: Bacteria
Description: partial 16S ribosomal RNA
Rfam family: Bacterial small subunit ribosomal RNA
Source: RNAcentral